AAUAAAGCCAAAGGAACAGUUAAUGGUUACAAAUAGUGACUUGGCUUUUUAAAAUAUAAAAUUAAAAAGUAUGUUUUCUUUCUUCUGACUUCACAGUUAACCUACAACGAGACAAAGGAACACGUUACUACUCUCUUGUGUAUCCUGACUGGCCAAUAUCUGUACGCAACAAAAACUUAUCUCUCUUUCUCACGGUUAGCCCACCGAUCCUAAUACUGGGCGCCCUAACGACCGUGUGGGUCAUGCACAGAUAUCCUCAGUUAUUUUAAACUAAAGUAAUAAUAAUUUAAAAAAAACCCACCCCAACUCAUUCAUAUAUGACUU
Long non-coding RNA from Suricata suricatta (meerkat), 324 nucleotides. RefSeq lists it as uncharacterized. NCBI's taxonomy places the organism in Eukaryota, Metazoa, Chordata, Mammalia, Carnivora, Herpestidae. The transcript is spliced from 2 exons. The record is from RefSeq and is a predicted model, not a curated record.